UGCGUAGGCGGCUCUUUAAGUCAGUGGUGAAAGCCUGGUGCUUAACACCAGAAUUGCCAUUGAUACUGGAGAGCUUGAGUUAAGAAGAGGUAAGCAGAAUUCAUGGUGUAGCGGUGAAAUGCAUAGAUACCAUGAGGAAUUCCAAUAGCGAAGGCAGCUUACUGGUCUUUGACUGACGCUGAGGCACGAAAGCGUGGGGAGCGAACAGGAUUAGAUACCCUGGUAGUCC
Molecule: ribosomal RNA, 229 nt
Filed under: uncultured bacterium
Lineage: Bacteria
Description: partial 16S ribosomal RNA
Rfam family: Bacterial small subunit ribosomal RNA
Source: RNAcentral